UAAGGAGACUGCCGGUGACAAACCGGAGGAAGGUGGGGAUGACGUCAAGUCAUCAUGGCCCUUACGGCCUGGGCUACACACGUGCUACAAUGGUCGGUACAGAGGGUUGCCAAGCCGCGAGGUGGAGCUAAUCCCACAAAACCGAUCGUAGUCCGGAUCGCAGUCUGCAACUCGACUGCGUGAAGUGGGAAUCGCUAGUAAUCGCGAAUCAGAAUGUCGCGGUGAAUACGUUCCCGGGCCUUGUACACACCGCCCGUCACACCAUGGGAGUGGGUUGCACCAGAAGUAG
Molecule: ribosomal RNA, 289 nt
Filed under: Pseudomonas mohnii
Lineage: Bacteria; Pseudomonadati; Pseudomonadota; Gammaproteobacteria; Pseudomonadales; Pseudomonadaceae
Description: partial 16S ribosomal RNA
Rfam family: Bacterial small subunit ribosomal RNA
Source: RNAcentral